RNAcentral lists this transfer RNA (95 nucleotides) under Streptomyces cyanogenus. Its description in RNAcentral is "tRNA-Arg". Lineage: Bacteria; Bacillati; Actinomycetota; Actinomycetes; Kitasatosporales; Streptomycetaceae. The record is from RNAcentral.
AGCGUGUGGCGCGGCAGGAGGCGCGGGCGCAUCCCCGGAGUGUGCCGUUGGCGUUGUUGGAGCCGCAUCGUGUGGUUCCGGUGCAUGGUCCGCUG